Salmo salar (Atlantic salmon) is the source of this 54-nucleotide non-coding RNA. NCBI's taxonomy places the organism in Eukaryota, Metazoa, Chordata, Actinopteri, Salmoniformes, Salmonidae. The record is from Rfam.
UGCACGCAUGACUGUAAAUCGCUUUGGAUAAAAGCGUCUGCUAAAUGACUUGCC